GUGCCCUGGGCUGCGGAGCAGACUGCAUGCUGGGCAACCUUGCUGGCCCCAGAACACAGCAUGUUUUUGUGACGCACUCAGCUCUGAGGUGGACAUGUUUUGUGCUGGAUCAGGGAAUCACCUUAGGUGAUGGUGUGAAGGAGAGCCCCUGCCAGGCAGCAGAUACCAGAUGAUGAAACAAUUAUUCUGAACUGACAUCUUGGGAAUGGAGUCAGAGCAUGCAUGCUAACGUAGUAAAUAAAUUAAUGUCUG
This 252-nucleotide long non-coding RNA is filed under the name Gallus gallus (chicken). RNAcentral describes it as "long non-coding RNA NONGGAT001000". Lineage: Eukaryota; Metazoa; Chordata; Aves; Galliformes; Phasianidae. The record is from RNAcentral.